ACCGUUAGCUGUCUUGGCAUGAAGCUGGACUGGCAGUGCAUUUGUGCACUCAGACAUGACGAGCUAGGCUAAGUUGCAGUGUGGAUUAUUGGUGACAGCUAUGUCCAGCAUAGUGGCCAGAGAGCUGCAGAGAGCUUAGGAAGCAUCUUCACCCUGCUGGACGUCUCUUGGUCUGGCUGGCUUCUCCCCUUCUUUUCCCCUCUCUGCAAAGAAUGGACACGGUGCUGGAUGUCCUCGUCAUCCACUGUGGCGGCAAAUUUAAAAAAAAUUAUUUUGACAAUGAUUCUGUCCAUGACUUUAAUUAACGGUCAAUAAAAGCCAGAAGCUCUGAUUUCCGGUUUAGUGACAAAAAAUUCUCCUGGCCUGUUUGAUUGUGGGGAAUGACAGCUUGUCCUCUGCCAUGGCCCUCCCUGGUUCUCUGAGCGGCGGGACGGCACCAUCUCAUCUCUCCCACUGUGAUUUGUGCGUCCGAUCACAGAGGCAACCACUUUUACAGCUGCUAUAUUGUCAGGGCUAAGCGGGAUGUGGCGUGUGGAGCCACUGCUGUGUGUAUUUCUUUGUGUGUGUGUGUGGGGGGGUUGUGUAGCUAUCUAUGAAAGGAAGACAUUAAUUUGCUGUAUCAUUUCAUGCUGAGACAGUCACCGCCCCUCCACACACAAACUUUUUUUUCUGCUCUGAAGCUAUAGCUCUAUAGCUGGCCUGUCUGCCAUAAUGAACAGCUCGUGUUGGAGAACUGAAUCUAAACCAGGGCCAUAUUGCAUAUUUCUGUACAUGAGAGGAGGGGGGCUGAGAGAGAAACACAUCAAUAAAGAUGACACCGUUUAAGAGGCAGACAACCUUUACAAAAGAGCGCCGGGUUUAAUGGGCUGGCCGCGUGGCUCAUAAACCACAACCGCAUAUGACUGCAACAGAGACCGAGAACCAGCUUUACUCAAGGCUGCUGAAGAGAAAUGUAACCACUCUGGAUGCAAAGACCGGUCUUCUUGCAUGAGUCAGCCAGUUAGUCACAACUGCAAGAAAUCACACAAUCUAGACCCAAGGAAUGUAGACCGAUCAACCAGAUUGAGGUAGCGAUGUAUCAGGUGUAUACUGUGCUGUGGAGCGAACACCAACAGCUAAUAACCACAAUACCACAGUGCUAAAGUUGCACACAUUUCCCAGGGCCAAAGUGUUAGCAUCAUGACAGCAAUUUUUAGUGUUUCAUUACUUGUUUUCUGCUUUUGUGGCUACAAGCAUGUCCCGUAAUGAUGAUCAAUCAAGGAAACUGAUAAUAAAGUCAAGCACUGCACUGUA
Long non-coding RNA from Micropterus dolomieu (smallmouth bass), 1293 nucleotides. RefSeq lists it as uncharacterized. The transcript is spliced from 3 exons. The record is from RefSeq and is a predicted model, not a curated record. NCBI's taxonomy places the organism in Eukaryota, Metazoa, Chordata, Actinopteri, Centrarchiformes, Centrarchidae.